Molecule: microRNA, 22 nt
Filed under: Mesocestoides corti
Lineage: Eukaryota; Metazoa; Platyhelminthes; Cestoda; Cyclophyllidea; Mesocestoididae
Description: mco-miR-12067-3p
Source: miRBase by way of RNAcentral
AGUCAUACGCCUUAUCCAUACC